AGAGUUUGAUCAUGGCUCAGGAUGAACGCUAGCGGGAGGCCUAACACAUGCAAGUCGAACGGGAAGGGCAGCAAUGCCCCGGGAGUGGCGCACGGGUGAGUAACGCGUAUGCAACCUGCCUUUAACUGAGGGAUAGCCCAUAGAAAUGUGGAUUAAUACCUCAUAGUUCUUUUGUCCUGCAUGGGAUGGAAGAUAAAGCUCCGGCGGUUAAAGAUGGGCAUGCGUGACAUUAGCUAGUUGGUGAGGUAACGGCUCACCAAGGCGACGAUGUCUAGGGGUUCUGAGAGGAUGAUCCCCCACACUGGUACUGAGACACGGACCAGACUCCUACGGGAGGCAGCAGUGAGGAAUAUUGGUCAAUGGGCGCAAGCCUGAACCAGCCAUCCCGCGUGCAGGAUGACGGCCCUAUGGGUUGUAAACUGCUUUUGUACACCAAGAAAACUCCCGACGUGUCGGGAUCUGACGGUAGUGUAUGAAUAAGCAUCGGCUAACUCCGUGCCAGCAGCCGCGGUAAUACGGAGGAUGCAAGCGUUAUCCGGAUUCAUUGGGUUUAAAGGGUGCGUAGGCGGCCUUUUAAGUCAGUGGUGAAAUCCUGCCGCUUAACGGUAGAAUUGCCGUUGAUACUGAAAGGCUUGAGUUCAGUUGAGGUAAGCGGAAUGUGUAGUGUAGCGGUGAAAUGCUUAGAUAUUACACAGAACACCAAUUGCGAAGGCAGCUUACUAAACUGACACUGACGCUGAUGCACGAAAGCGUGGGGAGCGAACAGGAUUAGAUACCCUGUAGUCCACGCCGUAAACGAUGCUCACUCGCUGUUUGCGAUACACGGCAAGCGGCCAAGCGAAAGCAUUAAGUGAACCACCUGGGGAGUACGAUCGCAGGUUGAAACUCAAAUGAAUUGACGG
Molecule: ribosomal RNA, 902 nt
Filed under: uncultured bacterium
Lineage: Bacteria
Description: bacterial SSU rRNA
Rfam family: Bacterial small subunit ribosomal RNA
Source: RNAcentral